UUAAGCGACUAAGCGUACACGGUGGAUGCCCUGGCAGUCAGAGGCGAUGAAGGACGUGCUAAUCUGCGAAAAGCGUCGGUAAGGUGAUAUGAACCGUUAUAACCGGCGAUGUCCGAAUGGGGAAACCCAGUGCAAUUCGUUGCACUAUCGUUAACUGAAUACAUAGGUUAACGAGGCGAACCGGGGGAACUGAAACAUCUAAGUACCCCGAGGAAAAGAAAUCAACCGAGAUUCCCCCAGUAGCGGCGAGCGAACGGGGAGCAGCCCAGAGUCUGAAUCAGCUUGUGUGUUAGUGGAACGGUCUGGAAAGUCCGACGGUACAGGGUGAUAGUCCCGUACACCAAAAUGCACAGGUUGUGAACUCGAAGAGUAGGGCGGGACACGUGGUAUCCUGUCUGAAUAUGGGGGGACCAUCCUCCAAGGCUAAAUACUCCUGACUGACCGAUAGUGAACCAGUACCGUGAGGGAAAGGCGAAAAGAACCCCGGCGAGGGGAGUGAAAAAGAACCUGAAACCGUGUACGUACAAGCAGUGGGAGCACCUUCGGGUGUGACUGCGUACCUUUUGUAUAAUGGGUCAGCGACUUAUAUUCUGUAGCAAGGUUAACCGUAUAGGGGAGCCGCAGGGAAACCGAGUCUUAACUGGGCGUUAAGUUGCAGGGUAUAGACCCGAAACCCGGUGAUCUAGCCAUGGGCAGGUUGAAGGUUGGGUAACACUAACUGGAGGACCGAACCGACUAAUGUUGAAAAAUUAGCGGAUGACUUGUGGCUGGGGGUGAAAGGCCAAUCAAACCGGGAGAUAGCUGGUUCUCCCCGAAAGCUAUUUAGGUAGCGCCUCGUGAACUCAUCUUCGGGGGUAGAGCACUGUUUCGGCUAGGGGGUCAUCCCGACUUACCAACCCGAUGCAAACUACGAAUACCGAAGAAUGUUAUCACGGGAGACACACGGCGGGUGCUAACGUCCGUCGUGAAGAGGGAAACAACCCAGACCGCCAGCUAAGGUCCCAAAGUCAUGGUUAAGUGGGAAACGAUGUGGGAAGGCACAGACAGCCAGGAUGUUGGCUUAGAAGCAGCCAUCAUUUAAAGAAAGCGUAAUAGCUCACUGGUCGAGUCGGCCUGCGCGGAAGAUGUAACGGGGCUAAACCAUGCACCGAAGCUGCGGCAGCGACACNNNNNNNNNNNNNNNNNNNNNNNNNNCCUGUGAGGGUUGCUGGAGGUAUCAGAAGUGCGAAUGCUGACAUAAGUAACGAUAAAGCGGGUGAAAAGCCCGCUCGCCGGAAGACCAAGGGUUCCUGUCCAACGUUAAUCGGGGCAGGGUGAGUCGACCCCUAAGGCGAGGCCGAAAGGCGUAGUCGAUGGGAAACAGGUUAAUAUUCCUGUACUUGGUGUUACUGCGAAGGGGGGACGGAGAAGGCUAUGUUAGCCGGGCGACGGUUGUCCCGGUUUAAGCAUGUAGGCUGGUUAUCCAGGCAAAUCCGGAUAAUCAAGGCUGAGGUGUGAUGACGAGGCACUACGGUGCUGAAGUAACAAAUGCCCUGCUUCCAGGAAAAGCCUCUAAGCAUCAGGUAACAUCAAAUCGUACCCCAAACCGACACAGGUGGUCAGGUAGAGAAUACCAAGGCGCUUGAGAGAACUCGGGUGAAGGAACUAGGCAAAAUGGUGCCGUAACUUCGGGAGAAGGCACGCUGGUGUGUAGGUGAAGUCCCUGCGGAUGGAGCUGAGACCAGUCGAAGAUACCAGCUGGCUGCAACUGUUUAUUAAAAACACAGCACUGUGCAAACACGAAAGUGGACGUAUACGGUGUGACGCCUGCCCGGUGCCGGAAGGUUAAUUGAUGGGGUUAUCCGUAAGGAGAAGCUCUUGAUCGAAGCCCCGGUAAACGGCGGCCGUAACUAUAACGGUCCUAAGGUAGCGAAAUUCCUUGUCGGGUAAGUUCCGACCUGCACGAAUGGCGUAAUGAUGGCCAGGCUGUCUCCACCCGAGACUCAGUGAAAUUGAACUCGCUGUGAAGAUGCAGUGUACCCGCGGCAAGACGGAAAGACCCCGUGAACCUUUACUAUAGCUUGACACUGAACAUUGAGCCUUGAUGUGUAGGAUAGGUGGGAGGCUUUGAAGCGUGGACGCCAGUCUGCGUGGAGCCAACCUUGAAAUACCACCCUUUAAUGUUUGAUGUUCUAACGUGGGCCCCUGACCGGGGUUGCGGACAGUGUCUGGUGGGUAGUUUGACUGGGGCGGUCUCCUCCCAAAGCGUAACGGAGGAGCACGAAGGUUAGCUAAUCCUGGUCGGACAUCAGGAGGUUAGUGCAAUGGCAUAAGCUAGCUUGACUGCGAGCGUGACGGCGCGAGCAGGUGCGAAAGCAGGUCAUAGUGAUCCGGUGGUUCUGAAUGGAAGGGCCAUCGCUCAACGGAUAAAAGGUACUCCGGGGAUAACAGGCUGAUACCGCCCAAGAGUUCAUAUCGACGGCGGUGUUUGGCACCUCGAUGUCGGCUCAUCACAUCCUGGGGCUGAAGUAGGUCCCAAGGGUAUGGCUGUUCGCCAUUUAAAGUGGUACGCGAGCUGGGUUUAGAACGUCGUGAGACAGUUCGGUCCCUAUCUGCCGUGGGCGCUGGAGAAUUGAGGGGGGCUGCUCCUAGUACGAGAGGACCGGAGUGGACGCAUCACUGGUGUUCGGGUUGUCAUGCCAAUGGCACUGCCCGGUAGCUAAAUGCGGAAGAGAUAAGUGCUGAAAGCAUCUAAGCACGAAACUUGCCCCGAGAUGAGUUCUCCCUGAGACUUUAAGUCUCCUGAAGGAACGUUGAAGACGACGACGUUGAUAGGCCGGGUGUGUAAGCGCAGCGAUGCGUUGAGCUAACCGGUACUAAUGAACCGUGAGGCUUAACCUU
RNAcentral lists this ribosomal RNA (2880 nucleotides) under Klebsiella pneumoniae. Its description in RNAcentral is "bacterial LSU rRNA". It matches the Rfam family "Bacterial large subunit ribosomal RNA". The record is from RNAcentral. Lineage: Bacteria; Pseudomonadati; Pseudomonadota; Gammaproteobacteria; Enterobacterales; Enterobacteriaceae. RNAcentral also lists the same sequence under 1 other name.